This is a non-coding RNA of Vicia faba (fava bean), 201 nucleotides long. The record is from the annotation of a GenBank genome assembly. NCBI's taxonomy places the organism in Eukaryota, Viridiplantae, Streptophyta, Magnoliopsida, Fabales, Fabaceae.
AUGGUGUUUUGCUUUUAUUUUGUUAUGAAUUUUGUUGCGGAAACACUAAUGUUAUACUUUGCUAGUUGUCUCUCCUUUGCAACUAUGUUUACAUGCUUUCUCUAUUUGCUUAAUCCCUUGCAAAAGAUGUUUAGUAUCCCAUUAUUUAUAAAAUUGAUUUUGGAAGAAUUUCGUAGAACUUAUCUUGCAAAAGAUGUUUAG